RNAcentral lists this ribosomal RNA (490 nucleotides) under uncultured bacterium. RNAcentral describes it as "bacterial SSU rRNA". It matches the Rfam family "Bacterial small subunit ribosomal RNA", at positions 28 to 507 of the family's 1533-position model. The record is from RNAcentral.
GAUGAACGCUAGCGAUAGGCCUAACACAUGCAAGUCGAGGGGCAUCACAUGAAGUAGCAAUACGGAUGGUGGCGACCGGCGCACGGGUGAGUAACACGUAUGCAACCUGCCUUCAACAAGGGGAUAACCCGUUGAAAGACGGACUAAUACCCUAUAACACAGGGGUCCCGCAUGGGAAUAUUUGUUAAAGGACAACCGGUUGAAGAUGGGCAUGCGUUCCAUUAGCUAGUUGGCGGGUAACGGCCCACCAAGGCAACGAUGGAUAGGGGAACUGAGAGGUUUAUCCCCCACACUGGUACUGAGACACGGACCAGACUCCUACGGGAGGCAGCAGUGAGGAAUAUUGGUCAAUGGACGCAAGUCUGAACCAGCCACGUCGCGUGAAGGAAGACGGCCCUACGGGUUGUAAACUUCUUUUAUACGGGGAAUAAAGUGCCCCACGCGUGGGGUUUUGCAUGUACCGUAUGAAUAAGGAUCGGCUAACUCCGUG